Molecule: long non-coding RNA, 1058 nt
Organism: Bubalus bubalis (water buffalo)
Lineage: Eukaryota; Metazoa; Chordata; Mammalia; Artiodactyla; Bovidae
Exons: 2
Source: RefSeq, a predicted model, not a curated record
GGGAGCUGACUGUGGCUCAGAUCAUGAACUCCUUAUUGCCAAAUUCAGACUGAAAUUGAAGAAAGUAGGGAAAACCACUAGACCAUUCAGGUAUGACCUAAAUCAAAUCCCUUAUGACAUAAGUGAGUAUGAAUUGGCUUUUCCCAGAGACGGCCUGAGACAUGGGAUAUUUAACCUAUCUAUGUUUUCAUCCGCACCUGUUCAAGCCCACCAAGGCAGAACGGACUUUAAGGGAGAAACAGUCUUGGACCACGUGGUGUUCUAGUUUGGCCUUGCUGACCUGCAGGUGAAGACACGGGGAUCCUCCUUCUCCCUCUGGGAUCUGGCAGGAUUUGGACUAGGAUGACCUGCCCCUCCCCCAUACAAGAUGACGACGUGCCUGCCGGCGCAGUGCUCCACCAGGGCCGGAGGCCGCCUUAAUGCCCGAUCCAAGGCCAGGUGAAGUUCCUGCAGCAGCCGCUGCUCCUCCGCCGGCUCUCCCAGAGGUCGUAGAGCUCCCAGCUCGGCGGGCUCCGAUCCCGGUGGCAGAAGCCUCUGGCCAACACUUCCAGGAUCUGAACCGCCCAAGCUACACCGGCCUCUCCUGUUAAAGUUGCAGGUGUUGACCCUUGGAUCCAUCAUGCGAGGAUAAAGAGAGCAUACCACGCAGACCCAGAAAACGCUGAGUGGACUGCACAGAGGGACCCCGCUGACCCUCGAGGACUAAGACCAUCCUUAAUAAGAAGGAAAAGAAGAUCCUGGCCGAGCCUCUUGAGGAUGAAGCCGCAUAAUCAACUCCUGAUGCUUGGUCUCAUCAAUGUGACAUUCCUAUGUGGACUUCAAAAUACCUCCAACUGUUGGGUAUGUGGGGCUAUGCCUCUGUCUGUGAUGGAUGGACUUCCCUGGUAGCUGUCACUGCUCUGCCAAGGAGAUUUUAAGCCACUCUGCUCUUUUCUGGGACAUAAUCAUAAUCUCUCCCUGCUCUCUGGGUGUAAGCCAGACCUACAGUCAAUACACUCGGGUCAUAGGGUUACAUUUGAUAUAAAUGCCAGUGUGACAAAAGCCUAACCUACAACAAA